Molecule: ribosomal RNA, 506 nt
Filed under: uncultured bacterium
Lineage: Bacteria
Description: partial 16S ribosomal RNA
Rfam family: Bacterial small subunit ribosomal RNA
Source: RNAcentral
AGUGAACGCUGGCGGUAGGCCUAACACAUGCAAGUCGAACGGCAGCACAGGAGAGCUUGCUCUCUGGGUGGCGAGUGGCGGACGGGUGAGGAAUACAUCGGAAUCUACUCUGUCGUGGGGGAUAACGUAGGGAAACUUACGCUAAUACCGCAUACGACCUACGGGUGAAAGCAGGGGAUCUUCGGACCUUGGGCGAUUGAAUGAGCCGAUGUCGGAUUAGCUAGUUGGCGGGGUAAAGGCCCACCAAGGCGACGAUCCGUAGCUGGUCUGAGAGGAUGAUCAGCCACAGUUGAACUGAGACGCGGUGCAGACUCCUACGGGAGGCAGGAGUGGGAAAUCUUGGGCAAUGGGCGCAAGCUUGAUCCAGCCAUACCGCGUGGGUGAAGAAGGCCUUCGGGUUGUAAAGCCCUUUUGUUGGGAAAGAAAUCCAGCUGGCUAAUACCCGGUUGGGAUGACGGUACCCAAAGUAUAAGCACCGGCUAAGUUCGUGCCAGCCACCGCCGUAA